UUCCGGUUGAUCCUGCCGGAGGCCAUUGCUAUCGGAGUCCGACUAAGCCAUGCUAGUCGCAGGGGUUCAGCCCCCUGGCGAACAGCUCAGUAACACGUGGCCAAACUACUCUAUGGACCCGGACAACCUCGGGAAACUGAGGCUAAUCCGGGAUAACGCUCCCCCGCUGGAAUGCCGGGAGCGUGAAAGGCCCCGGCGCCAUAGGAUGUGGCUGCGGCCGAUUAGGUAGACGGUGGGGUAACGGCCCACCGUGCCCAUAAUCGGUACGGGUCAUGAGAGUGAGAGCCCGGAGAUGGUAUCUGAGACAAGAUACCAGGCCCUACGGGGCGCAGCAGGCGCGAAACCUUUACACUGCACGCAAGUGCGAUAAGGGGACUCCGAGUGCGAGGGCAUACAGUCCUCGCUUUUGUACACCGUAAGGUGGUGUACGAAUAAGGGCUGGGCAAGACCGGUGCCAGCCGCCGCGGUAAUACCGGCAGCCCGAGUGAUGGCCGCUAUUAUUGGGCCUAAAGCGUCCGUAGCUGGCCGGACAAGUCCGUCGGGAAAUCCAUCCGCCUAACGGAUGGGCGACCGGCGGAAACUGUUCGGCUUGGGGCCGGAAGACCCGAGGGGUACGUCCGGGGUAGGAGUGAAAUCCCGUAAUCCUGGACGGACCGCCGGUGGCGAAAGCGCCUCGGGAGGACGGACCCGACAGUGAGGGACGAAAGCUGGGGUCUCGAACCGGAUUAGAUACCCGGGUAGUCCCAGCCGUAAACGAUGGCCGCUAGGUGUGGCGCAGGCUACGAGCCUGCGCUGUGCCGUAGGGAAGCCGUGAAGCGGCCCGCCUGGGAAGUACGUCCGCAAGGAUGAAACUUAAAGGAAUUGGCGGGGGAGCACUACAACCGGAGGAGCCUGCGGUUCAAUUGGACUCAACGCCGGACAUCUCACCAGCCCCGACAGUAGUCGUGACGGUCAGGUUGAUGACCUUACCCGAGCUACUGAGAGGAGGUGCAUGGCCGCCGUCAGCUCGUACCGUGAGGCGUCCUGUUAAGUCAGGCAACGAGCGAGACCCGCACCCCUAGUUGCCAGCAGCAGCCACUGGCUGGCUGGGUACACUAGGGGGACUGCCGCUGCCAAAGCGGAGGAAGGAACGGGCAACGGUAGGUCAGUAUGCCCCGAAUGGGCUGGGCUACACGCGGGCUACAAUGGCCGGGACAAUGGGAUGCGACCCCGAGAGGGGAAGCUAAUCUCCUAAACCCGGUCGUAGUUCGGAUUGAGGGCUGAAACUCGCCCUCAUGAAGCUGGAUUCGGUAGUAGUCGCGUGUCAGAAGCGCGCGGCGAAUACGUCCCUGCUCCUUGCACACACCGCCCGUCAAAUCACCCGAGUGAGGUCCGGAUGAGGCCGCCGAGAGGCGGUCGAAUCUGGGCUUCGCAAGGGGGAUUAAGUCGUAACAAGGUAGCCGUAGGGGAAUCUGCGGCUGGAUCACCUCCUU
RNAcentral lists this ribosomal RNA (1472 nucleotides) under uncultured haloarchaeon. RNAcentral's name for it is "bacterial SSU rRNA". It matches the Rfam family "Archaeal small subunit ribosomal RNA". The record is from RNAcentral. Lineage: Archaea; Methanobacteriati; Methanobacteriota; Halobacteria; Halobacteriales; Halobacteriaceae.